This 442-nucleotide ribosomal RNA is filed under the name uncultured bacterium. RNAcentral's name for it is "partial 16S ribosomal RNA". It matches the Rfam family "Bacterial small subunit ribosomal RNA", at positions 338 to 795 of the family's 1533-position model. The record is from RNAcentral.
CCUACGGGAGGCAGCAGUAGGGAAUCUUUCACAAUGGGCGAAAGCCUGAUGGAGCACCGCCGCGUGCAGGAUGAAGGCCUUCGGGUUGUAAACUGCUUUUAUAAGCGAGAAAUAUGAUGGUAACUUAUGAAUAAGGAUCGGCUAACUACGUGCCAGCAGCCGCGGUCAUACGUAGGAUCCGAGCAUUAUCCGGAGUGACUGGGUGUAAAGAGUUGCGUAGGUGGCAUAAUAAGUAGCUAGUGAAAUCUGGUGGCUCAACCAUUCAGAUUAUUAGCUAAACUGUUAAGCUCGAGACCGUUAGGGGUAACUGGAAUUUCUAGUGUAGGAGUGAAAUCCGUAGAUAUUAGAAGGAACACCAAUAGCGUAGGCAGGUUGCUGGGACGGUUCUGACACUAAGGCACGAAAGCGUAGGGAGCAAACGGGAUUAGAUACCCGGGUAGUC